Molecule: ribosomal RNA, 449 nt
Filed under: uncultured bacterium
Lineage: Bacteria
Description: partial 16S ribosomal RNA
Rfam family: Bacterial small subunit ribosomal RNA
Source: RNAcentral
AGCGAACAUUGGCGGUAGGCUUAACACAUGCAAGUCGAGCGAGGCGUAAUAGUCGAGCGGCGAACGGGUGCGUAAUACAUGGGAAUCUACCCUGAAGUGGGGGAUAACGUUCAGAAAUGGACGCUAAUACCGCAUAAUCCACAUUGGGAAAGCGUUGCAGCGCUUUAGGAUGAGCCCAUGGCUGAUUAGCUAGUUGGUGAGGUAAUGGCUCACCAAGGCGACGAUCAGUAGCUGGUCUGAGAGGAUGACCAGCCACACUGGAACUGAGACACGGUCCAGACUCCUACGGGAGGCAGCAGUGGGGAAUCUUGCGCAAUGGGGCAACCCUGACGCAGCCAUACCGCGUGAGUGAUGAAGGUCUUCGGAUUGUAAAGCUCUUUCGGCGGGGACGACGAUGACGGUACCCGCAAAAGAAGUCACGGCUAACUUCGUGCCAGCAGCAGCCGCCG